GGGCCGGUAGCUCAGCUAGGUAGAGCGGCGGUCUCUAGACCCGUAGGUCGGGGGUUCAAGUCCCUCCCGGCCCA
Molecule: transfer RNA, 74 nt
Filed under: Infirmifilum uzonense
Lineage: Archaea; Thermoproteati; Thermoproteota; Thermoprotei; Thermofilales; Thermofilaceae
Description: Thermofilum uzonense tRNA-OTHER
Rfam family: tRNA
About the family: Transfer RNA (tRNA) molecules are approximately 80 nucleotides in length.
Source: RNAcentral